CUGAUUUUUGAAGUUUGUCAAGGUUUUUGAUGCUCUUUUUAGAGCUCACCUUUUCAACUUCUUUUCACACUAUGUGCAACUUUUUGUUUUUUUGGGUAUUUAGAGUUUGACUUUAAUGCCCAAACAUUUUUUUAAACCUUUGUUUUUUAUUUUGUCUGAUUUAAAUCGUUUAAAAAUCGAUAA
This 183-nucleotide unclassified non-coding RNA is filed under the name uncultured fungus. RNAcentral describes it as "sequence contains ITS1, 5.8S rRNA gene". Lineage: Eukaryota; Fungi. The record is from RNAcentral.